This 394-nucleotide ribosomal RNA is filed under the name Phalacrocorax fuscicollis. Its description in RNAcentral is "partial small subunit ribosomal RNA". It matches the Rfam family "Bacterial small subunit ribosomal RNA", at positions 794 to 1384 of the family's 1533-position model. Lineage: Eukaryota; Metazoa; Chordata; Aves; Suliformes; Phalacrocoracidae. The record is from RNAcentral.
GCCUAGCCCUAAAUCUUGGCACUUACCCUACUAAAGUGUCCGCCCGAGAACUACGAGCACAAACGCUUAAAACUCUAAGGACUUGGCGGUGCCCCAAACCCACCUAGAGGAGCCUGUUCUAUAAUCGAUAACCCACGAUUCACCCGACCGCCUCUUGCCAAAACAGCCUACAUACCGCCGUCGUCAGCCCACCUUCGUGAAAGAACAACAGUGAGCGCAAUAGCCUCGCCCGCUAACAAGACAGGUCAAGGUAUAGCUCAUGAGGCGGAAGAAAUGGGCUACAUUUUCUGAAACAGAAAACCCAACGAAAGAGGACGUGAAACCGUCCCCGAAAGGCGGAUUUAGCAGUAAAGUGGGACAAUAGAGCCCCCUUUAAACAGGCCCUGAGGCACGU